UACGUAGGGUGCAAGCGUUGUCCGGAAUUAUUGGGCGUAAAGGGCUCGUAGGCGGUUUGUCACGUCGGGAGUGAAAACUCAGGGCUCAACCCUGAGCGUGCUUCCGAUACGGGCAGACUAGAGGUAUGCAGGGGAGAACGGAAUUCCUGGUGUAGCGGUGGAAUGCGCAGAUAUCAGGAGGAACACCGGUGGCGAAGGCGGUUCUCUGGGCAUUACCUGACGCUGAGGAGCGAAAGCAUGGGGAGCGAACAGG
This 253-nucleotide ribosomal RNA is filed under the name uncultured bacterium. RNAcentral's name for it is "partial 16S ribosomal RNA". It matches the Rfam family "Bacterial small subunit ribosomal RNA", at positions 524 to 776 of the family's 1533-position model. The record is from RNAcentral.